UGACUAACAGUGUCAUGUUGUAUCCUGACACUGGCAGCGUUUUUAUUUUGAACUACUGCAUUUUUAUUUAAAUUUUCCUAGUAAAGAACUGUUAUUGCUAUUCCCAUAUCUUUUCCUGAGAGCGCCUCAAUUUCAAGAUUACAAUAAUUUGGAUUAUAAAAAUUUAAACAUUUUUCCAUUUCAAGAGAAGUUUCUGCCUUCCUUAGCAGAGACCUGUCUUUUCAAACCAAGUUACAUAUAAUACCUUUCAGGAAUCAGAUAACAGAACUUUGUAUCUGGGGGAUCUAACAAGAGGUGCCUCCUCCAUUUAGGUUUGCAUGACCCCACUGUGGAAGGGAUUACUUAAGUAGCUCAGGAUUCAAAAGUUAGCACACAGGAGUUAAGCUGCUCAGGCUUUGUCCAUGGAUGCUGUCCUACUUUUGUCACUGUCUCUUUGAGCCUUCAGUUCAGUUCCGUUGCUCUGGACUGCCAGGUCAGGACAACUUCCAGGAUUGGAAGCUGAACUCAGCCCUUGGCAGCUGAGUGCAGCCAGCCCAGGCCAGCAGUGCCCCAUUGCCAGUGCUGGGAGGGCUCCUGGAACAUCUGCCCCUGUUACUCAGGUCCAGAGAUCAGCAGAAGAGGCUGGAAACCACUCUGGGCUUAGACCUGUCUGUGUGCAUUCUGCCAGCCCAGCCCUGCACAGAGCUUCCCCGCUGCUUCUUGUCCUUCUUGAAUACAUGGACGGGGCAUGAUGCUUUUUGAAUACCUCUUCACUUGUCCUUCUGAACCAUCCUCUCUAUUAUCCUUUCAAUUAUUUCAUCUUUGUUUCUUUUUAGUACAAGUAGUCUAAGGACAGAGGACUUGAUCCUUAUCAUUAUGCAACCUAAAUUGGCAAUGCCUGCCCUGAAGUGUCUAGCUUCCCAUCACAAUCAGAGUGGCAGGCAUUGCCUUGUACCACAUGCCCAAAUUUCAAAAUGCUGAAAGAGAAGGGCUUUUAUACCUUACUGAAAUCUAUUUCAGCCUUUC
RNAcentral lists this long non-coding RNA (1005 nucleotides) under Cyanistes caeruleus (blue tit). RNAcentral describes it as "lncRNA (ENSCCEG00000000894.1)". The record is from RNAcentral. Lineage: Eukaryota; Metazoa; Chordata; Aves; Passeriformes; Paridae.